ACACGUAGGGGCCUGACGUUGUUCGGAAUCAUUGGGCGUAAAGGGCGCGCAGGCGGCCGUCCAAGUCCGGUGUUAAAUGGUCGGGCUCAACCCGAUCAUGCGCUGGAAACUGGGCGGCUUGAGUCCCGUAGGGGAUGCCGGAAUUCCAGGUGUAGGGGUGAAAUCUGUAGAUAUCUGGAAGAACGCCGAUGGCGAAGGCAGGCAUCUGGCCGGAGACUGACGCUGAGGCGCGAAGGCGCGGGGAGCGAACAGGUUUAGAUACCCUGGUAGUCCGCGCAGUAAACGAUGCGCACCAGGUGUCGGGCGGCAGCGCCCGGUACCGGAGCUAACGCGAUGAGUGCGCCGCCUGGGGAGUAUGCCCGCAAGGGUGAAACUCAAAUGAAUUGGCGGGG
Molecule: ribosomal RNA, 392 nt
Filed under: uncultured bacterium
Lineage: Bacteria
Description: partial 16S ribosomal RNA
Rfam family: Bacterial small subunit ribosomal RNA
Source: RNAcentral